Molecule: ribosomal RNA, 245 nt
Filed under: uncultured Acetobacteroides sp.
Lineage: Bacteria; Pseudomonadati; Bacteroidota; Bacteroidia; Bacteroidales; Rikenellaceae
Description: partial 16S ribosomal RNA
Rfam family: Bacterial small subunit ribosomal RNA
Source: RNAcentral
UACGGAGGACGCGAGCGUUAUCCGGAUUCAUUGGGUUUAAAGGGUGCGCAGGCGGUGCGUUAAGUCAGCGGUGAAAGCCCGUGGCCCAACCACGGAAGUGCCGAUGAUACUGGCGCGCUGGAAUGCGGUCGGGGCGGGCGGAACGUGGCGUGUAGCGGUGAAAUGCGUAGAUAUGCCACAGAACGCCGUUCGCGGAGGCGGCUCGCCAGGCCUGCAUUGACGCUCGGGCACGAAAGCGUGGGGAU